Molecule: ribosomal RNA, 497 nt
Filed under: uncultured bacterium
Lineage: Bacteria
Description: partial 16S ribosomal RNA
Rfam family: Bacterial small subunit ribosomal RNA
Source: RNAcentral
GAUGAACGCUCGCCGCGUGCCUAAUACAUGCAAGUCGAGCGAACGGACGAGAAGCUUGCUUUUCUGAUGUUAGCGGCGGACGGGUGAGUAACACGUGGAUAACCUACCUAUAAGACUGGGAUAACUUCGGGAAACCGGAGCUAAUACCGGAUAAUAUUUUGAACCGCAUGGUUCAAAAGUGAAAGACGGUCUUGCUGUCACUUAUAGAUGGAUCCGCGCUGCAUUAGCUAGUUGGUAAGGUAACGGCUUACCAAGGCAACGAUGCAUAGCCGACCUGAGAGAGUGAUAGGCCACGCUGGAUGUGAGAGACGGUCCAGACUCCUACGAGAGGCAGCAGUAGGGAAUCUUCCGCAAUGGGCGAAAGCCUGACGGAGCAACGCCGCGUGAGUAAUGAAGGUCUUCGGAUCUUAAAACACUGUUAUUAGGGAAAAACAUAUGUGUAAGUAACUGUGCACAUCUUGAGGGUACCUAAUCAGAAAGCCACGGCUAACUAGGUG